ACCGCGCCCCGGCUUGAACAGAGCUCUUUUUGUGUAACGAAGUGAAACAAAAAAGCGGGAGUGGAAGACGGAAAGGUGC
RNAcentral lists this unclassified non-coding RNA (79 nucleotides) under Kaistella antarctica. RNAcentral's name for it is "Chryseobacterium antarcticum Flavo-1 RNA". Lineage: Bacteria; Pseudomonadati; Bacteroidota; Flavobacteriia; Flavobacteriales; Weeksellaceae. The record is from RNAcentral.